CUACGGGGUGCUGCAGUGAGGAAUAUUGCACAAUGGGGGAAACCCUGAUGCAGCAACGCCGCGUGGAGGAUGACGCAUUUCGGUGUGUAAACUCCUUUUAUCCGAGAAGAAAAUGACGGUAUCUGAUGAAUAAGCUCCGGCUAACUCCGUGCCAGCAGCCGCGGUAAUACGGAGGGAGCAAGCGUUAUUCGGAAUCACUGGGCGUAAAGGACGCGUAGGCGGGUUUUUAAGUCAGGUGUGAAAUCCUAUGGCUCAACCAUAGAACUGCACUUGAAACUGGGGACCUAGAGUAUGGAAGGGGCAGGUGGAAUUAGUGGUGUAGGGGUAAAAUCCGUAGAUAUCACUAGGAAUACCGAAAGCGAAGGCGACCUGCUGGGACAUUACUGACGCUGAGGCGUGAAAGCGUGGGGAGCAAACAGGAUUAGAUACCCUGGUAGUC
RNAcentral lists this ribosomal RNA (439 nucleotides) under uncultured bacterium. RNAcentral describes it as "partial 16S ribosomal RNA". It matches the Rfam family "Bacterial small subunit ribosomal RNA", at positions 339 to 795 of the family's 1533-position model. The record is from RNAcentral.